UAGUCUACGCCGUAAACGAUGGAUACUAGCUGUGUGGAUUUCGGUCUGCGUGGCUAAGCGAAAGUGAUAAGUAUCCCACCUGGGGAGUACGUUCGCAAGAAUGAAACUCAAAGGAAUUGACGGGGGCCCGCACAAGCGGUGGAGCAUGUGGUUUAAUUCGAUGAUACGCGAGGAACCUUACCAGGGCUUAAAUGUAGUCUGACAGGCUUAGAGAUAGGCUUUUCUUCGGACAGAUUACAAGGUGCUGCAUGGUUGUCGUCAGCUCGUGUCGUGAGGUGUCAGGUUAAGUCCUAUAACGAGCGCAACCCCUGUCGUUAGUUGCCAGCACGUAAUGGUGGGAACUCUAGCGAGACUGCCGGUGCAAACCGAGAGGAAGGUGGGGAUGACGUCAAAUCAUCACGGGCCCUUACGUCCUGGGGCCACACACGUGCUACAAUGGCCGGGUACAGAGAGCAGCCACCUCGCGAGAGGGGCGCGAAUCUUCAAAGCCGGGUCACAGUUCGGGA
RNAcentral lists this ribosomal RNA (506 nucleotides) under uncultured bacterium. RNAcentral's name for it is "bacterial SSU rRNA". It matches the Rfam family "Bacterial small subunit ribosomal RNA", at positions 791 to 1298 of the family's 1533-position model. The record is from RNAcentral.